This 587-nucleotide ribosomal RNA is filed under the name Glomeromycotina sp. RNAcentral describes it as "eukaryotic LSU rRNA". It matches the Rfam family "Eukaryotic large subunit ribosomal RNA", at positions 110 to 626 of the family's 3401-position model. Lineage: Eukaryota; Fungi; Glomeromycota. The record is from RNAcentral.
CAAAUUUUAAAUCACCUAGGUUACCUGGGCGAGUUGUAAUUUGAAGAAAGUGYUUUGAUGCUCUGGUUUUGUCUAAAUCCUUUGGGAUAAGGUAUCAUAGAGGGUGAGAAUCCCGUUCAUGAUUUAAACCCUGGGUGUCACCUAAUUCACUUUCUAAGAGUCGAGUUGUUUGGGAUUGCAGCUCAAAAUGGGUGGUAAAUUUCACCUAAGGCUAAAUAURUGCAAGAGACCGAUAGCGAACAAGUACCGUGAGGGAAAGAUGAAAAGAACUUUGAAAAGAGAGUUAAAUAGUACGUGAAAUUGUUGAAAGGGAAACGAUUGAAGUCAGUCAUGCUUGCAGGGAAUCAGCMAUGGUGGUUUAUUCUUCCUUGUGCACUUUCUUGCUUGGCAGGUUAGCAUCAAUUUCGAUUGUCAUUAAAGAAUUGGGGGAAUGUGGCUUCUUCGGGAGUGUUAUAGACCCUGGUAGAUGUGGCGAUCGGGAUUGAGGAUUGCAGCGAAUGCUUUUUGGCUAGUCACCUGGCUUCUGAUAGUCGCCUUGCUUCCGAUAGCUUGCUAAUGGUGGUGAGACUCGAUUGUCUAGAAGUUAG